This 719-nucleotide ribosomal RNA is filed under the name uncultured Comamonas sp. RNAcentral's name for it is "bacterial SSU rRNA". It matches the Rfam family "Bacterial small subunit ribosomal RNA", at positions 45 to 761 of the family's 1533-position model. The record is from RNAcentral. Lineage: Bacteria; Pseudomonadati; Pseudomonadota; Betaproteobacteria; Burkholderiales; Comamonadaceae.
UGCCUUACACUGCAAGUCGAACGGUAACAGGUCUUCGGAUGCUGACGAGUGGCGAACGGGUGAGUAAUACAUCGGAACGUGCCUAGUAGUGGGGGAUAACUACUCGAAAGAGUGGCUAAUACCGCAUGAGAUCUACGGAUGAAAGCAGGGGAUCGCAAGACCUUGUGCUACUAGAGCGGCCGAUGGCAGAUUAGGUAGUUGGUGGGAUAAAAGCUUACCAAGCCGACGAUCUGUAGCUGGUCUGAGAGGACGAUCAGCCACACUGGGACUGAGACACGGCCCAGACUCCUACGGGAGGCAGCAGUGGGGAAUUUUGGACAAUGGGCGCAAGCCUGAUCCAGCAAUGCCGCGUGCAGGAUGAAGGCCUUCGGGUUGUAAACUGCUUUUGUACGGAACGAAAAGCCCUGGGUUAAUACCCUGGGGUCAUGACGGUACCGUAAGAAUAAGCACCGGCUAACUACGUGCCAGCAGCCGCGGUAAUACGUAGGGUGCGAGCGUUAAUCGGAAUUACUGGGCUUAAAGCGUGCGCAGGCGGUUUUGUAAGACAGAGGUGAAAUCCCCGGGCUCAACCUGGGAACUGCCUUUGUGACUGCAAGGCUAGAGUACGGCAGAGGGGGAUGGAAUUCCGCGUGUAGCAGUGAAAUGCGUAGAUAUGCGGAGGAACACCGAUGGCGAAGGCAAUCCCCUGGGCCUGUACUGACGCUCAUGCACUUAAAGCG